GGAGAGAGAGAGAGGGUGGUGCACAACAGUUCUCUCCAACCACUUUGGAGGUGUCCAGAAUUGCAUUACAAACAAGACAAGGAAGAAAAUAUCUGAAUAUAGGGGCUUAGUCUCUUUAGUCUCAAAAUCCCGCUGCCUGCUGUUCACCUCCAAUCUGGACACCAGACUACAAAACCAACUGACUAUACACAGAAUUGCAAUGCCAUUGGCCAGUUCUGUUCCACGGGCCCGUCGGGCCGCCAAGGAGGAGGAAGAGCCUGCCCCACCCCCACCUCCUUCACACCACUCAAACCAUAACUUCAUGAACAUGAAGAACAAGUUCUUUAACGAGCUGACCCACAUGCCAAACCAUAAACUGAAAAUGCCCAUGUGGGCGAUAGGGGCCAUCGUGGUGGUGGUGCUGGCCCUGGUGGUGUGCCUGGGCUUCUGCAUCUACAAGAAGUGCAUCAACAAGGGCAAGAAGCCCAAGAAAGUCAGGGAGAGGAAGGGAGGAAGAGGCAGGAGAAAGAAGGACAAGGAUGGAGAGGAUGGCGAAGGGGGUGGGGAGAAGAAGGAUGGAGAGGAAGAGAAGGAACAGGAGAACUUUGGAAAACUGGAGUUUACCCUGGACUACAGCUUCACUGACAACCAGCUCGUCGUGGGCAUCCUGCAGGCACAGGACCUGGCAGCCAUGGACAUGGGUGGCACCUCCGAUCCCUACGUCAAAGUGUACAUGCUCCCUGACAAGAAGAAGAAGUUUGAGACCAAAGUCCAGCGUAAGAACCUCUGUCCCGUCUUCAACGAGACCUUCAGCUUCAAGAUCGCCUACAAUGAUUUGGGUGGUCAGACUCUGGUCUUACAGGUAUUUGACUUUGACCGCUUUGGGAAGCAUGACGUGAUCGGAGAGAUCAAGAUCCCCAUGAACAGCGUGGACCUGGCACAACCCCUCCACGAAUGGAGAGAUCUGGUUGGAGGAGAGAAAGAGGAGGAUGAGAAGCUGGGUGACAUCUGUAUUUCGUUGCGUUAUGUUCCAACGUCUGGCAAGCUCACCGUCAAUGUCAUGGAGGCCAAGAACCUAAAGAAGAUGGAUGUGGGAGGCUUGUCAGAUCCUUUUGUAAAGGUGGUGUUGCAGCACCAAGGCAAACGUCUGAAGAAGAAGAAGACGUCAGUGAAACAGAACACUCUGAACCCCUACUUCAACGAGAGCUUCAGCUUCGAGAUACCAUUCUCUCAGAUCCAGAAAAUCCAGGUGAUAAUCACUGUGUACGACUACGACAAGCUGGGCAGCAACGACGCCAUUGGGAAGUGUUUCAUUGGCUUCGGAGCCACAGGAGUGGGGCUACGCCAUUGGUCAGACAUGUUGGCCAAUCCCAGACGUCCUGUUGCCCAGUGGCAUACCCUGCGGCCUGAGGAGGAGGUGGAUGCUGCCCUGAAGGCACCCAUCCGCUAAGCACACACACAAGUACCACACACACACACACACACGUGUGACUCGCACAUCACAGACAUUUAAAAAAGAUCUCAAGCAUAAACCUCUACUGAACAUCAAAUGUACUGCAAGGAUAAACGUAUUACGAACACACUGAAAACACUUUCUUUUCGUGUUUUUUGAGUGAUGCACAUCCGCUCUCUGCAGUCUUGUCCUUAUGUUCUGGUCUCAACUGUUAUAUUUUAUUUUUGUGACCCCCUCUCCCCAAAACAUAACCGGUUGCCCAUUUAGUCAUUUGUUUUUACCAAUUAUGUGUUCUAUUUAAAUAUAUAUAUAUAUAUAUAUAUAUAUUUUGUGUCUUGAAUGUGUGUCAAUGUCUGUGCAUGUGUUUGGAGGAGAGAAUGUGUAUUUUGUUUAUUGGCUGAGGGAUGUGUGUUUGUGUGUGCAAGUCUGUCCUAUACCAUAGUUCAUGGAAAGCUUCCUCUGGUUUACCUCUUGAAUGUAACAUGGUGUAAAUAAAUAGAUGAUGAAAUCAUUCCAAACAAUAAUAGAUGAGUGGUUAUAC
This is an RNA transcript of Osmerus eperlanus (European smelt), 1973 nucleotides long. The record is from RefSeq and is a predicted model, not a curated record. Lineage: Eukaryota; Metazoa; Chordata; Actinopteri; Osmeriformes; Osmeridae.